CGCUGGCGGCAGGCCUAACACAUGCAAGUCGAGCGGCAGCGCGUCCGACCACCCUCGGGUGGUCGGAUGGCGGCGAGCGGCGGACGGGUGAGGAAUGCAUCGGAAUCUGCCUCGUUGUGGGGGAUAACGUAGGGAAACUUACGCUAAUACCGCAUACGACCUACGGGUGAAAGUGGGGGACCUUCGGGCCUCACGCGAUGAGAUGAGCCGAUGCCGGAUUAGCUAGUUAGCGGGGUAAAGGCCCACCAAGGCGACGAUCCGUAGCUGGUCUGAGAGGAUGAUCAGCCACACUGGGACUGAGACACGGCCCAGACUCCUACGGGAGGCAGCAGUGGGGAAUAUUGGACAAUGGGCGCAAGCCUGAUCCAGCAAUGCCGCGUGUGUGAAGAAGGCCUGCGGGUUGUAAAGCACUUUCAGUGGGGAAGAACAGAUUCGGGUCAAUACCCCGGAGCCCUGACGUUACCCACAGAAGAAGCACCGGCUAACUCCGUG
Molecule: ribosomal RNA, 492 nt
Filed under: uncultured bacterium
Lineage: Bacteria
Description: bacterial SSU rRNA
Rfam family: Bacterial small subunit ribosomal RNA
Source: RNAcentral